RNAcentral lists this ribosomal RNA (510 nucleotides) under uncultured bacterium. RNAcentral describes it as "bacterial SSU rRNA". It matches the Rfam family "Bacterial small subunit ribosomal RNA", at positions 29 to 526 of the family's 1533-position model. The record is from RNAcentral.
AUUGAACGCUGGCGGCAGGCCUAACACAUGCAAGUCGAGCGGCAGCGGGAAAGUAGCUUGCUACUUUUGCCGGCGAGCGGCGGACGGGUGAGUAAUGCCUGGGGAUCUGCCCAGUCGAGGGGGAUAACUACUGGAAACGGUAGCUAAUACCGCAUACGCCCUACGGGGAAAGCAGGGGACCUUCGGGCCUUGCGGCACUGGCUGACCACAGGUGGGCUUAGCUAGUUGGUGAUGUAACGGCUCACCAAGGCGACGAUCCCUAGCUGGUCUGAGAGGAUGAUCAGCCACACUGGAACUGAGACACGGUCCAGACUCCUACGGGAGGCAGCAGUGGGGAAUAUGGCACAAUGGGGGAAACCCUGAUGCAGCCAUGCCGCGUGUGUGAAGAAGGCCUUCGGGUUGUAAAGCACUUUCAGCGAGGAGGAAAGGUCAGUAGCUAAUAUCUGCUGGCUGUGACGUUACUCGCAGAAGAAGCACCGGCUAACUCCGUGCCAGCCGCCGCCGUAACAC